UUGACGGGGCCGCACAAGCGGUGGAGCAUAGUGGUUUAAUUCGAAGCAACGCGAAGAACCUUACCAGGUCUUGACAUCCCGAUGCUAUUUCUAGAGAUAGAAAGUUACUUCGGUACAUCGGUGACAGGUGGUGCAUGGUUGUCGUCAGCUCGUGUCGUGAGAUGUUGGGUUAAGUCCCGCAACGAGCGCAACCCCUAUUGUUAGUUGCCAUCAUUCAGUUGGGCACUCUAGCGAGACUGCCGGUAAUAAACCGGAGGAAGGUGGGGAUGACGUCAAAUCAUCAUGCCCCUUAUGACCUGGGCUACACACGUGCUACAAUGGUUGGUACAACGAGUUGCGAGUCGGUGACGGCGAGCUAAUCUCUUAAAGCCAAUCUCAGUUCGGAUUGUAGGCUGCAACUCGCCUACAUGAAGUCGGAAUCGCUAGUAAUCGCGGAUCAGCACGCCGCGGUGAAUACGUUCCCGGGCCUU
RNAcentral lists this ribosomal RNA (470 nucleotides) under uncultured Streptococcus sp. RNAcentral's name for it is "bacterial SSU rRNA". It matches the Rfam family "Bacterial small subunit ribosomal RNA", at positions 910 to 1382 of the family's 1533-position model. The record is from RNAcentral. Lineage: Bacteria; Bacillati; Bacillota; Bacilli; Lactobacillales; Streptococcaceae.